RNAcentral lists this ribosomal RNA (460 nucleotides) under uncultured bacterium. RNAcentral describes it as "partial 16S ribosomal RNA". It matches the Rfam family "Bacterial small subunit ribosomal RNA", at positions 338 to 795 of the family's 1533-position model. The record is from RNAcentral.
CCUACGGGUGGCAGCAGUGAGGAAUAUUGGUCAAUGGACGAGAGUCUGAACCAGCCAAGUAGCGUGAAGGAUGACUGCCCUAUGGGUUGUAAACUUCUUUUAUAAAGGAAUAAAACGAGGCACGUGUGCCUUUUUGCAUGUACUUUAUGAAUAAGGAUCGGCUAACUCCGUGCCAGCAGCCGCGGUAAUACGGAGGGUCCGAGCGUUAUCCGGAUUUAUUGGGUUUAAAGGGAGCGUAGAUGGGUUGUUAAGUCAGUUGUGAAAGUUUGCGGCUCAAACGUAAAAUUGCAAUUGAUAGUGGCAGGCUUGGUUACAGUUGAGGUAGACGGAAUUCCUGGUGUAGCGGUGAAAUGCUUUGAUAUCACGAAGAAACCCGAUUGCGAAGGCAGCUUACUAAGCUGUGACUGACAUUGAUGCUCGGAAGUGUGGGUAUGAAACAGGAUUAGGUACCCCGGUAGUC